RNAcentral lists this ribosomal RNA (1353 nucleotides) under uncultured organism. Its description in RNAcentral is "bacterial SSU rRNA". It matches the Rfam family "Bacterial small subunit ribosomal RNA". The record is from RNAcentral.
UGCAAGUCGAGCGAUGAGGCCUUCUUCGGAGGGCACAUCAGCGGCAGACGGGUGAGUAACACGUGGGUGACCUGCCCUUGAGACGGGGAUAACGGAUGGAAACAUGCGCUAAUACCCGAUAGGGUCCCAGGGUCAAAGCUGGGAUGAAAGCUUUGGUGCUCAAGGAGGGGCUCGCGGCCCAUCAUCUAGUUGGUGAGGUAACGGCUCACCAAGGCGAAGACGGGUAGGGGGUGUGAGAGCACGGCCCCCCACAAUGGGACUGAGACACGGCCCAUACUCCUACGGGAGGCAGCAGCAGGGAAUAUUGCACAAUGGACGGAAGUCUGAUGCAGCGACGCCGCGUGGAUGAUGAAGGCCUUCGGGUUGUAAAAUCCUUUACGGGGUGACGAGGAAGGACGGUAGCCCCGGAACAAGCGUCGGCUAACUACGUGCCAGCAGCCGCGGUAAGACGUAGGACGCAAGCGUUAUCCGGAUUUACUGGGCGUAAAGCGUCUGUAGGCGGAUGAGUAAGUUGGGCGUGAAAGCUCCGGGCUCAACCCGGAGAGGCCGUUCAAUACUGCUGAUCUAGAGGAGGCCAGAGGGGAGUGGAAUUCCUGGAGUAGCGGUUAAAAUGUGCAGAUAUCAGGAAGAACACCAGUGGCGAAGGCGGCUCCCUAUGGCCCACCUGACGCUGAGAGACGACAGCUAGGGGAGCGAACAGGAUUAGAGACCCUGGUAGUCCUAGUCGUAAACGAUGGAUGCUAUGUGUAGGGCUGUAGAGGCUCUGUGCCGGAGCGAACGCGAUAAGCAUCCCGCCUGGGGAGUACGGCCGCAAGGCUAAAACUCAAACGAAUUGACGGGGACCCGCACAAGCAGCGGAGCGUGUGGUUUAAUUUGAUGUUACACGAAGAUCCUUACCUGGGUUUGACAUGGGCGUGGUAGUGAAGCGAAAGCGGAGCGACCCUUCGGGGAGCGUCCACAGGUGCUGCAUGGCUGUCGUCAGCUUGUGCCGUGAGGUGUCGGGUUAAGUCCCGUAACGAGCGCAACCCUUGCCAUUAGUUUCAAGUGUCUAAGGGGACUGCCGGCGGGAAGCCGGAGGAAGGUGGGGAUGACGUCAAGUCAGCAUGGCCCUUAUAUCCAGGGCUACACACACGCUACAAUGGCCGGUACAGAGGGCAGCGAAGCCGCGAGGUGGAGCGAAUCCCAGAAAUCCGGUCGUAGUUCGGAUUGCAGGCUGCAACCCGCCUGCAUGAAGCCGGAGUUGCUAGUAACCGCGUGUCAGCCAUAGUGCGGUGAAUACGUUCCCGGGUCUUGUACACACCGCCCGUCACGUCAUGGGAGUCGGUAACGCGGGAAGCCGGUAGCCUGACCCGC